GAUGAACGCUGGCGGCGUGCCUAAUACAUGCAAGUCGAACGCACAGCGAAAGGUGCUUGCACCUUUCAAGUGAGUGGCGAACGGGUGAGUAACACGUGGAUAACCUACCUCAAGGUUGGGGAUAACAUUUGGAAACAGAUGCUAAUACCGAAUAAAACUUCGUAUCGCAUGAUACAAGGUUAAAAGGCGCUACGGCGUCACCUAGAGAUGGAUCCGCGGUGCAUUAGUUAGUUGGUGGGGUAAAGGCCUACCAAGACAAUGAUGCAUAGCCGAGUUGAGAGACUGAUCGGCCACAUUGGGACUGAGACACGGCCCAAACUCCUACGGGAGGCUGCAGUAGGGAAUCUUCCACAAUGGGCGAAAGCCUGAUGGAGCAACGCCGCGUGUGUGAUGAAGGCUUUCGGGUCGUAAAGCACUGUUGUAUGGGAAGAACAGCUAGAGUAGGGAAUGACUUUAGUUUGACGGUACCAUACCAGAAAGGGACGGCUAAAUACGUGCCAGCAGCCGCGGUAAUACGUAUGUCCCGAGCGUUAUCCGGAUUUAUUGGGCGUAAAGCGAGCGCAGACGGUUGAUUAAGUCUGAUGUGAAAGCCCGGAGCUCAACUCCGGAAAGGCAUUGGAAACUGGUCAACUUGAGUGCAGUAGAGGUAAGUGGAACUCCAUGUGUAGCGGUGGAAUGCGUAGAUAUAUGGAAGAACACCAGCGGCGAAGGCGGCUUACUGGACUGUAACUGACGUUGAGGCUCGAAAGUGUGGGUAGCAAACAGGAUUAGAUACCCUGGUAGUCCACACCGUAAACGAUGAACACUAGGUGUUA
RNAcentral lists this ribosomal RNA (815 nucleotides) under uncultured Leuconostoc sp. RNAcentral describes it as "bacterial SSU rRNA". It matches the Rfam family "Bacterial small subunit ribosomal RNA", at positions 28 to 825 of the family's 1533-position model. Lineage: Bacteria; Bacillati; Bacillota; Bacilli; Lactobacillales; Lactobacillaceae. The record is from RNAcentral.